Molecule: ribosomal RNA, 1383 nt
Filed under: Epimeria sp. 19 MLV-2017
Lineage: Eukaryota; Metazoa; Arthropoda; Malacostraca; Amphipoda; Epimeriidae
Description: eukaryotic LSU rRNA
Rfam family: Eukaryotic large subunit ribosomal RNA
Source: RNAcentral
CGGGCUACCAAGCCUGCGGCGGGAUGUUGCGUUAAGGGAAAGGUCGUUUGUAAGCCCUGCACUACAUAGCCUAAGUUUGGCUUGAAUUUCUCACUGUAUCCUAACGGAUGCAACGGCUCCACAGAGGGUGUCAGACCCGUGAGGCUAUGUGAUUAAAUGUGCGUGGGUUCGGCUUUAUUCCCUGAGAGUCGCGUUGCUUGAGCAUGCAGCGCUAAGCAGGUCGUAAACUCGACCUAAGGCUAAAUAUAUUCACAGAACCGAUAGCGAACAAGUACCGUGAGGGAAAGUUGAAAAGUACUCUGAAGAGAGAGUCAAAAGACCGUGAAACCGCUUAGAGUAUAAGCCAAUGGCUAUCUGGAAUGCUGGUGCUACCCGAUGAAAUGGUCCCCGAUUGUGGGGAACGUGGUAGGGUAUCGUUGGGCGAGAGAUCAUGAAGGCUGACAGGGCAAUCGAACCGAAAAGUGGCAUUGAGUUGAUAUCACGGCAACCAGAUCUCGCGGGCUACUGACAGUGGUAACAGGGAAUGUUCUAAUGAGGAACUGAACCGAGGCUGGGCUUGGGGCGAGCGUCAGUUUUGAAGCUCACAAACGAUUUGCAUUCUAAACAGCACACCACAAUACUUUAUAAGGUCUCCCUCGUGGGGGGGUUGUCGAGUCGCGUCUUGUGUUCUCUAACAUCACGGUGUGAUAUGGCGUGUGUAUCUAUCUCUCUCUGAGCAAGUACUCUUCUGGUGAACAGAGGGGAACGCGGGAGUAGAUAUGCUAGAGAGCCGGCCGACAUUGCCCUGCCAGUCCAGUCGCGAGUGGAAUGAUCCUAUGUGAAGAUUGAAUUCUGACCAUCCGAUACCCGAUAGGAGGCUCUCCAGGCCUCCGAAGCGGAAUCAGCGCGUUUGUGGCUGCGCCUCGUUAWUUGUCUAAUCGAACGAGGGUCUCUGGGGGCAGUGCUYGUCAAUGCCUGCUUGUCCGUCUCUGGAGACUCAGACAGCGAUUAWUAAUGGGCUGUGUGCGGUUGUGGAAGUUGUGGUAAAGGAUGUUUGGUGCGUUAUUCCAGAGCCAUCGGUCACGUCUCGAAACACGGGCCAAGGAGCAUAGCAUGUGCGCAAGUCUAAGGGAUAAGAAAUCCUGGAGGCAGAGUGAAAGCAAAUGGUGUGUUUACGAGUGUGUGUGUAAGCACACGCGCGUAUUCAGUCUGUGAUUAGCGUAAUUCCUAUAGACUCCUUCGGGGGUUUAUGGAUGAAUGCGCAUCACUGCUUAAACCGGGUUGAUCCUAAGGUAAUCAAGCCACAUGGCGAUACCUGGGCGCAGACCCCAGGCUCUUUUGUUUACGAGGGUAUUUAUAUCCUUCAGAGAGAGCACUGCAGAGCGUGCAUGUUAUAACCCGAAA